CCUACGGGAGGCAGCAGUGAGGAAUAUUGGUCAAUGGACGCNAGUCUGAACCAGCCAUGCCGCGUGAAGGAUGAAGGCGUUCUGCGUUGUAAACUUCUUUUAUCUGGGAAGAAGCCUACGAUUUCUAUCGUAGCCGACGGUACCAGAGGAAUAAGCACCGGCUAACUCCGUGCCAGCAGCCGCGGUAAUACGGAGGGUGCAAGCGUUAUCCGGAUUCACUGGGUUUAAAGGGUGUGUAGGCGGAUACUUAAGUCAGUGGUGAAAUCUCCAGGCUCAACCUGGAAACUGCCAUUGAUACUAUUUAUCUUGAAUAUUGUUGAGGUAGGCGGAAUAUGUCAUGUAGCGGUGAAAUGCUUAGAUAUGACAUAGAACACCGAUUGCGAAGGCAGCUUGCUAAACAAUUAUUGACGCUGAGGCACGAAAGCGUGGGGAUCAAACAGGAUUAGAUACCCUGGUAGUCCACGCCCUAAACGAUGAUUACCGGACAUUUGCGAUAUACAGUGAGUGUCUGAGCGAAAGCAUUAAGUAAUCCACCUGGGAAGUACGUCCGCAAGGAUGAAACUCAAAUGAAUUGACGG
Molecule: ribosomal RNA, 578 nt
Filed under: uncultured Flexibacter sp.
Lineage: Bacteria; Pseudomonadati; Bacteroidota; Cytophagia; Cytophagales; Flexibacteraceae
Description: bacterial SSU rRNA
Rfam family: Bacterial small subunit ribosomal RNA
Source: RNAcentral